RNAcentral lists this ribosomal RNA (1163 nucleotides) under Sarcocystis fayeri. Its description in RNAcentral is "bacterial SSU rRNA". It matches the Rfam family "Eukaryotic small subunit ribosomal RNA", at positions 141 to 1235 of the family's 1831-position model. Lineage: Eukaryota; Apicomplexa; Conoidasida; Eucoccidiorida; Sarcocystidae. The record is from RNAcentral.
GGAUAACCGUGGUAAUUCUAUGGCUAAUACAUGCGCAAAGAUCCUUUGAGAAAAGGGUAGUGUUUAUUAGAUACAGAACCAAUAAAGACAUCAUCGCAAGAGCAGCUUUUGCUGUUUUUUAUGGUGUCUUUUUCAAAGGUAAUUCAUUGUAACCGAACGGAUCGCAUAUUCUUGUUUUAGAAUGGCGAUAGAUCAUUCAAGUUUCUGACCUAUCAGCUUUCGACGGUAGUGUAUUGGACUACCGUGGCCGUGACAGGUAACGGGGAACUAGGGUUCGAUUCCGGAGAGGGAGCCUGAGAAACGGCUACCACAUCUAAGGAAGGCAGCAGUCGCGCAAAUUACCCAGUCCUGACACAGGGAGGUAGUGACAAGAAAUAACAACACUGGAAAUUUGAUUUCUAGUAAUUGGAAUGAUGGGAAUCCAGACCCCUUUCAGAGUAACAAUUGGAGGGCAAGUCUGGUGCCAGCAGCCGCGGUAAUUCCAGCUUCAAUAGCGUAUAUUAAAGUUGUUGCAGUUAAGAAGCUCGUAGUUGGAUAUCUGCUGGAAGCAAUCAGUCCGCCCUUUUCAUAGGGGUGUGCACUUGAUGAAUUCUAGCAUGAUUCUUAUCUUUCCUAAUGGUAAUGAUUAUUAUUAGGUUGAUUCCUAAUGUCAAUGGUUAUUAUUGGGAUAGAUAGCCGUUACUUUGAGAAAAUUAGAGUGUUUAAUGCAGGCUGUUAUUAUGCCUUGAAUACUGCAGCAUGGAAUAACAAUAUAGGAUUUCGGUUCUAUUUUGUUGGUUUCUGGGACUGGACUAAUGGUUAAUAGGGACAGUUGGGGGCAUUCGUAUUUAGCUGUCGGAGGUGAAAUUCUUAGAUUUGUUAAAGACGAACUAAUGCGAAAGCAUUUGCCAAAGAUGUUUUCAUAAAUCAAGAACGAAAGUUAGGGGCUCAAAGACGAUCAGAUACCGUCGUAGUCUUAACCGUAAACUAUGCCGACUAGAGAUAGGAAAAUGUCAUUACUGACUUCUCCUGCACCUUAUGAGAAAUCGAAGUCUUUGGGUUCUGGGGGGAGUAUGGUCGCAAGGCUGCAACUUAUAGGAAUUGACGGAAGGGCACCACCUGGCGUGGAGCCUGCGGCUUAAUUUGAUUCACCACGGGGAAACUCACCAGGUCCAGACAUAGGA